CUUUGGGAGUGUUCUCUAUGAUGAAAACAUAUAUAGACGACAUAUAAUGACUGACAGGGAUGGAGUUAAAUCUUUUUCCCUGAAGUGGAAAGCUGCAACAGGUUUUUUUUUUUCCCCUCACAGCAGGGCCUGUUAAACAUCCCAAUAAUGUGGGGAAUAUUAUUGGGCUCAGCUGAGACAAAUUACUAACUUUAACAAAAAUCACAACAGCUGGGCCUAUAAAAGGGAAGAGUGGAUAAGUCUUUUCUUUCCUGGGUUUGGUUAAGUUUUGGAAACAUAAAGAUUUGGUUUCAAACUUUUUCCAUGCUUGUGCCAGUUACAUUUUUCUGGACUCCCAUAUUUAAUGAGUAGAGUAUAAUUCAUCAAAAUACAUAAGAGGCUGAAUUGCAUUGCUUGGUGCCAACACAUUGCACAGUGUAAAAUAUGGUGGUAUAUAGAAAUCAAGCCGAGCAACAAUGGACCUUGAGUUUCCAAGGAUAAGAGUUUUUAGCAUGCAGUGAGCCAACACUCUGUGAUCAUCCAGAUCUCUGUGGACCACAGCUUGGGAACAGUUCUCCUAUGGCACCUGUGAGAAUGAAGCAGCGUUAUUUACUUAUGAUUAUGGAGAGGUUAAGAUGCAUCAUCACUCUUAAAAAAAACAAAAAAACAAAAAAACCCCACAGAUUAAAGAUCCUCUGAGGAAAGCCAUUGUGUAAAUGGAUAGGAUUACAAUCCCACUGAAGUUAGUGAGUGAGGAAAAAAAUCUCGGGUUUAUUUCUAGUCCUAAAUUCAAGGUAAAAGGAAAGUUUUCAGAACUACUCUUCUACUACUUGUGGACUAAUAUCUUUAUUAGAAGCAGGAUUAGCGAGGAAUAUUUCUCUUUGCUACUACAAGACUUCUCAUCUCAAUUGUAAACCUCAUUUAUACUGAAACUCUACCCAACCUCAUAAAUCCUCAACUCAUAUGUGCCUCAUUACAAAUAAAACUAUUCCCUACACAGAA
Long non-coding RNA from Chelonia mydas (Green sea turtle), 981 nucleotides. RefSeq lists it as uncharacterized. The transcript is spliced from 4 exons. The record is from RefSeq and is a predicted model, not a curated record. NCBI's taxonomy places the organism in Eukaryota, Metazoa, Chordata, Testudines, Cheloniidae.